CGGAGGGUGCAAGCGUUAUCCGGAAUUACUGGGUUUAAAGGGUGCGUAGGCGGUUAGAUAAGUCAGUGGUGAAAGGUUGCCGCUUAACGGUAGAAUGGCCAUUGAUACUGUUUAACUUGAAUCAGGAUGAGGUUAGCGGAAUGAGACAUGUAGCGGUGAAAUGCAUAGAUAUGUCUUAGAACACCAAUUGCGAAGGCAGCUAGCUAGACCUAGAUUGACGCUGAGGCACGAAAGCGUGGGAGCGAACAGGAUU
Molecule: ribosomal RNA, 253 nt
Filed under: uncultured bacterium
Lineage: Bacteria
Description: partial 16S ribosomal RNA
Rfam family: Bacterial small subunit ribosomal RNA
Source: RNAcentral